AGGUGUUGUUUGGGAAGGAAAAGCCGGGCUAAAUUAGCCACGUCGCGACAAAGUUGGCUAUUUCAGCCACGUCCCGACAAAAAUGCAUUUCACGGGACAAGCCUCAGAUUGAACCCAACACACCCUUCGCAAAGCAGAAGAGAAGAAGAACGGAGCUAUCUGACGGCAUCUGAGCGACCUUGGCAGAGGAAAUCGCCACCGGAGUACGCAUCCGCGGCGGCAAACAACAACGAAGCCUCUCAAACUCAAACCGAUCUGCAGGUUUCGCAUCAACGAAGACGCGAUGAAUCCCUGGGAUGGAAGCAACCAUGAUGAAAUAACUGAAAUGCUUAAUCAAAUGGCGGUCCAGGUGCAACAAGAACAGAACUGCACAUUUCUACAAGCAUGCCAGUUGGCGAUAGAAUGGUACAAAAAAC
Camellia sinensis is the source of this 416-nucleotide non-coding RNA. The record is from RefSeq and is a predicted model, not a curated record. NCBI's taxonomy places the organism in Eukaryota, Viridiplantae, Streptophyta, Magnoliopsida, Ericales, Theaceae.